Molecule: ribosomal RNA, 254 nt
Filed under: uncultured bacterium
Lineage: Bacteria
Description: partial 16S ribosomal RNA
Rfam family: Bacterial small subunit ribosomal RNA
Source: RNAcentral
UACAGAGGCCCCGAGCGUUAGGCGGAAUCACUGGGCUUAAAGCGUGUGUAGGUGGAUGCCUAAGUACCUUGUGAAAUCCCACGGCUUAACCGUGGAAUUGCUGGGUAUACUGGGUGUCUUGAGCCACUCAGGGGCUACCGGAACAAAUGGUGGAGCGGUGAAAUGCGUAGAUAUCAUUUGGAACGCCAAUGGUGAAAACAGGUAGCUGGGGGGUGUGCUGACACUGAGACACGAAAGCCAGGGGAGCAAACGGG